GGCCGGGCCCGCGGCACUGCGAGCGUUCCGAACCGGGUCAGAUCCGGGAGGAAGCAGCCCUAAGGAUUGCUCGCAGGUGCCCGGGUUGAGCGCCCG
RNAcentral lists this signal recognition particle RNA (96 nucleotides) under Actinomycetes bacterium. RNAcentral describes it as "Actinobacteria bacterium signal recognition particle sRNA small type". It matches the Rfam family "Bacterial small signal recognition particle RNA". Rfam says of the family: The signal recognition particle (SRP) is a universally conserved ribonucleoprotein involved in the co-translational targeting of proteins to membranes. Archaeal SRP consists of a 7S RNA and homologues of the eukaryotic SRP19 and SRP54 proteins. Lineage: Bacteria; Bacillati; Actinomycetota; Actinomycetes. The record is from RNAcentral.